RNAcentral lists this ribosomal RNA (445 nucleotides) under uncultured bacterium. Its description in RNAcentral is "partial 16S ribosomal RNA". It matches the Rfam family "Bacterial small subunit ribosomal RNA", at positions 354 to 796 of the family's 1533-position model. The record is from RNAcentral.
GUGAGGAAUAUUGGUCAAUGGGCGCAAGCCUGAACCAGCCAUGCCGCGUGCAGGAAGACGGUCCUAUGGAUUGUAAACUGCUUUUAUUUGGGAAUAAACUCCGGUACGUGUACCGGCCUGAAGGUACCAAAUGAAUAAGCACCGGCUAACUCCGUGCCAGCAGCCGCGGGAAUACGGAGGGUGCAAGCGUUAUCCGGAAUCAUUGGGUUUAAAGGGUCCGCAGGCGGUCUUAUAAGUCAGUGGUGAAAGCAUACAGCUCAACUGUAGAACUGCCAUUGAUACUGUAGGACUUGAAUUCGAUCGAAGUGGGCGGAAUGUGACAUGUAGCGGUGAAAUGCUUAGAUAUGUCACAGAACACCGAUAGCGAAGGCAGCUCACUAGGUCUGGAUUGACGCUCAGGGACGAAAGCGUGGGGAGCAAACAGGAUUAGAAACCCUGGUAGUCC